This 982-nucleotide long non-coding RNA is filed under the name Nicotiana benthamiana. RNAcentral's name for it is "long non-coding RNA (NBEN_LNC005414)". Lineage: Eukaryota; Viridiplantae; Streptophyta; Magnoliopsida; Solanales; Solanaceae. The record is from RNAcentral.
GUUUGGGUUGUACAUAUAUCUGAGCCCGUUUUAUUUUUGUUCUUGGGCCGUCUAACCCGACCCAAUAGUGAUUGUAUAUAAACCACUUGCACAUAUAUUUUACAUACGGGAUUUCAUUUUAUCUUCUGGCUUUCUCCAGAAGCUUCUCAUUCUCUCUCUGUAUCGCUUCCUGUUCAUCUUCAUCUUCUGUGAUUUUCAUCUUCAAAUAUUCAUGUUUUCAUUAUGGGCUAUUCAUAUUUCAAUUGAAAGGUAAAUAAUUGUAAUAGCCAUUCAAAGUUCUGACAACCCAAUAAAAGUCGAGUAAAAAUAAGAGGAUCAAAACUAAAUUAUUAAACCCAAGGGCCCCCUAUUCCGGUUUCAUUUGAUGGCAAACGGGGAAUUCGAAGCUAACUAAGCCGUGGCAAGAAAGAUCACAAAUUGAAAUUUACUCAAAGAUAACAUAUAAAAUACCAUCAUCGCCAUCACAUUCGAGACAAAUACGACAGCAAGGUAAGGAACCAAGUUCGACAUCUUCAUCAUCCUUUAUUAUCUCAUUCGAAGGCGGAGGCUCAUGUACAUUCUGAUGAAGCAGAGGAUCGGAUUCAUUAGGGUUCCACUCCUCUCCCACUACCUCCAGCGAGGCUCAUGUUCAUUUUGAUGAAGCAGAAGAUCGGAUUCAUUAGGGUUCCACUCCUCUCCCACUACCUCCAGCUCUCAUUCACUUUUCAUUGGACGGAGCCUCUUUCUAAUCCUCAAUAGUGGAUGUACAGCCGCACACGAUCCUCCUUCCGCAGACUCUUUAACAGUGAUCAAAUCGCAAUCAGGGAGAAAUGAAUUGAAAGAAGGAGAAUAAUUAUACAAAUAAAAUAAAUGAUUUUUUACAUUGAGGGUUUGCAGGGAGAUUUACUUGGAAUGGAACGAAGCACCACAAGGAGAGGGCUGCACGAUGUUGUCAAUUAUUUGUUCCUUGUUCCUCCGGAGCCUAAUUGAGCCAGGUUCAAUU